RNAcentral lists this long non-coding RNA (1910 nucleotides) under Canis lupus familiaris (dog). RNAcentral's name for it is "lncRNA (ENSCAFG00000048194.2)". Lineage: Eukaryota; Metazoa; Chordata; Mammalia; Carnivora; Canidae. The record is from RNAcentral.
GUGAUCAUCUAGUUUCAUUAUGGGUCAUGAUUCCUCCAGCUGAGAUCCUUAGAUGAGCCACAUUGGAGCUCUACACUGCUGAACAUAGUUCCUGUGAGCAUCUGUCUGGUGCCUGGGCUUGGGAGUUAAGUCUGUUGUAGAGAACAUCUAGCCACUAUACCAAGAAGGGCCUCCAUGUUUACUGCUGACCAUGAGCUCACCCACAGGUACAAAACUUAUAUAUGCUCAUUGGAGAAGAGGAAGAAGAAGGAGGAGGAGGAAGAGGAAGAAGAAGAAGAUGAGGAUGAUGAAAGAGAGGAAGGAAGGAAGGAAGGAAGGAAGGAAGGAAGGAAGGAAGGAAAAGGAAGGAAGAAAAAGAAAGGAAGGAUGAAAGAGAAGGAAAGAAGGAAAAGAAAUUCUAGCUUUGAGAAUCUUGGAUGGCUCAUCCAGAUACUGCCAAUCCCUGGGCUGGUCAGUGGCCUUUGACCUGUGUAGCCUGGCUCAGAAAAAUGAAUGAGAUCAGUCACAUUCUCCCUCUCAGGAAUGUGGCCUCUAAAACUCAGAAGGAAGUAGUACUUGUGAAGAAACUGAUCCCAUUUGGACUGUAUGGUGCUGUCCAGACCCUCGUCUAGGAUGGCAGCACCUAUGGUCCCCAGCUGCAGCCUUCGUGUUGCACAUGAGGACAACUCUGAGACCAACACAAUUCCAAAGCUCCUCGCAGGGCUGGCUGAAGCCUUUGUUGAGGCUGCUCUGCUGCUCAAUUUCUCCCCCUACCCACUCCUCCUUCUCCCUUCGCCCCCACACCCCCAUGGACAUUAGCCAUGUCCAUGAUAAGCUUUCUGCUCACUAAUCUUCACCUCAGAGUCUGUUUCUAGGGGGACCAACCUGCCACAGGGUAGGAAGAAAGGAUGAUGCGUGGAAUCAGGUGUGUCUGGCACAGGCCCUUUCCUCCUGGCCUGAGUCCUGUUAUCUUUACAUCCCACGUUCCCUGGCUUCUGUCCUCCUGGAGAUUUGCUUACCUGAUACUCCAAAGGACAAAGGAUAAGUUUCGCAGAGAUGUAAGGCCAGAUUUAGUAAUAUCUAGCUGAGCCUUAGUUUCUUCAUCUGUAAAAGGAGCCUUUGCCAGGGCCGCUCCACCCAUUGUGUCUUUCCCUCCACACUUCAUCCAGAGCAUUCGCCAGUGCCAUGGGGGUGAUACAGCAGGAGAUGGGUUCCUAUUGGGUUGCAUUUCACUGAGGAUAAUAGGAUAAACAGCUGCUUUCACAAUUAGCCUUUUCAUGAAAAUGACGUGAGAUCAUUGUUGCUGUUUGAAGCACUUCAACAGGGUGGGGUUUCUGAAGCCCCAUUUUAAUUAAAUAGUGCCCUCCCCACCCUGGCCCAACAUAAAACCUCCAGAGUUUCGACCAUCAAACAGAGUCCAGAUCUGUAAGCCUAAUCUAGGAUCCUGUGAUUUGUCAGAACCUUGUCCUCUGUUACAUGGCAUCAGGCACUCAUACCCAUGACUCCCUAGACAUUCCUGCCUCUGCACCUUUGCCUAUACUGACCCUGGCUGCUGAGGCCGGGCUCACAUAACCGGUCUUCUACAAAGUCAUUUGAGAACACCCAAGUCAAAAGCAUUUUGUUUGUAUGCUGAUGAUAACAUUUGCUAUUAGCUGCCUUGUGUUAAGGGUCAACUAGGUUAACUAGCUACAAUGCUUCUUUAGUUUAAAAAAAAAAAAAAGGCACCUGGGAGGCUCAGUGGUUGAGCAUCUGCCUUCAGCUCAGGUCAUGAUCCUAGGGUCCUGUGAUCGAGUUCCGCAUCAGGCUCCCUGCGAGGAGCCUGAUUCUCCCUCUGCCUAUGUCUCUGCCUCUCUCUCUCUGUGUCUCUCAUGAAUAAAUAAAUAAAGGCUUAAGAAAAAAAAGAGCUGCAUGUCCUCAUGACUUAGUAUCUU